Molecule: ribosomal RNA, 521 nt
Filed under: uncultured Glomus
Lineage: Eukaryota; Fungi; Glomeromycota; Glomeromycetes; Glomerales; Glomeraceae
Also listed under: 1 other name
Description: SSU rRNA
Rfam family: Eukaryotic small subunit ribosomal RNA
Source: RNAcentral
AGCAGCCGCGGUAAUUCCAGCUCCAAUAGCGUAUAUUAAAGUUGUUGCAGUUAAAAAGCUCGUAGUUGAAUUUCGGGAUCAAGGAAUCGGUCAUGCCUUGGUAUGUACUGGUUUUAUUGGUUCUCACCUUCUAAAGAACCAUAAUGUCAUUCAUUUGAUGUUAUGGGGAAUUAGGACUGUUACCUUGAAAAAAUUAGAGUGUUUAAAGCAGGCUUACGCUUGAAUACAUUAGCAUGGAAUAAUGAAAUAGGACAUCAGAUUCUAUUUUGUUGGUUUCUAGGAUCGAUGUAAUGAUUAAUAGGGAUAGUUGGGGGCAUUAGUAUUCAAUUGUCAGAGGUGAAAUUCUUGGAUUUAUUGAAGACUAACUACUGCGAAAGCAUUUGCCAAGGAUGUUUUCAUUAAUCAAGAACGAAAGUUAGGGGAUCGAAGACGAUCAGAUACCGUCGUAGUCUUAACCAUAAACUAUGCCGACUAGGGAUCGGAUGAUGUUAAUUUUAUAAUGACUCAUUCGGCACCUUACG